AGGCCUUAGGCUUGCGAGGAUGGGAAAAACGCAUACGGUGUUCCUUCACCGAUUUAUAGUCUUUCCUACUCCUCCCAAGCCCAUGGCCU
Molecule: microRNA precursor, 89 nt
Filed under: Picea abies (Norway spruce)
Lineage: Eukaryota; Viridiplantae; Streptophyta; Pinopsida; Pinales; Pinaceae
Description: miR482i stem-loop (pab-MIR482i)
Gene: pab-MIR482i
Source: miRBase by way of RNAcentral